GCCGGCGUAGCUCAAGCGGCAGAGCGACUGACUUGUAAUCAGUAGGCUAUGGGUUCGACUCCCAUCGCCGGCU
RNAcentral lists this transfer RNA (73 nucleotides) under Anaerolineae bacterium. RNAcentral's name for it is "tRNA-Thr". It matches the Rfam family "tRNA". From Rfam's summary of the family: Transfer RNA (tRNA) molecules are approximately 80 nucleotides in length. Lineage: Bacteria; Bacillati; Chloroflexota; Anaerolineae. The record is from RNAcentral.